ACACUGGCCUAGUUGAUCCACAACAGUGAGCAGCAAAACAUUAGCAUCGCUACACGGAUGCUCAGCGAGCGCACUAAUAAUAGGCUGUGUAAAAAUAUCUGAGUUCAUCCUAGAAUGACGAGGUUUAACGUGUUUGUGUGUCGUUUUGAUGACUAAAGCCUUUGUUACCGGGAGAGAGCGGUAAACUCCGUUCAUGGAUCGCGGCGGUGUGAGCCCUGCAACGGGGCGAGAUAGAGCCUGAGGACCGAGCCGCUCGCCUGCUGCCGAGUGUCCAGGUGAAAGUGGCAGAGAGGAGGGGACAAGGGAGGCAGGUGUCCCGCGCGAGACGCUAGAGUGUCCGGCUUCGACUCGUAUCACAGUUACUUUCACUUGAAUGCAGGAUCAUCUUCCACACAAGAGGACAACCUGGACACCCCCACACCUAACAGCGGGCCCAGUCCUUCCCCGACCGGGAGCGGUGGGAACGUUCCCCUGUGCAGCCGGCCAUGACAGGCCCAUGUCGGGCCGGGCCUCGGCUCCUCCACUCCACGGAGCAAGUGAUUGACAGGUCUCACCGGGGGAGGUGGGACUCCUUAUCUGCCAUUCAGAACAGCUGGCUGUGGGAUGAAGACGCCACACGAAGCGAUAGUUUGAGAGCAUCACACCGACACGGUCGCUGACCUCCGCCGAGCGACACUUGGCGCUCCCAGAGGAGCAGAGGAGUGCCGGACAAUCCCUGAGAGUUAAUCAUUACUGCGAGACCACUGUGAAGGCAGCCUGACCCCUCAAAGCAUCGCACAGCAAGGCACGGGGCAACUCACAGAAGGCCUGAUAAAUGACAGCCCUCGCAACACACCUUCAAAGUAUUCCCGUACAAAGACUUAGCGGGAAUGAGUGGGAAUCUGGACCAGAUUUUUUUGGUUUAGUUUUUAACAUCGAUGGAAAGAAAUGUACACUAAAUGCUUCAAGUUACCUAAAACCGGGACGUUUUUCGAUGUCUGAUUUGGUCAAAUUUCAAAACUAUGUUUACAAUAGGAAAUGAGAGGUAAGAAAUAUAAAAUGAGUCCAAUCUGUUCUAAAUCAAACUGGGAUGGGCAUAAAACCCUUUAUUAACUGCAGAGGUAACUUGAAGUAAGAGUUCAACAUUGUUAUCUCAUAUAAGAAGAUGUGGCAAAGUUAAGUUUGACUUAAGUCAAAGUACAGAUGAUUUAGAAGUAUGAAGAACAACGAUCCAAUCCAAACAAUGUGACAAUACCGUGAAUCCAUUGUCCUCAAACCUUUGAGCUGUGUAUUCCUGUAAAUAAAAAGUUUUGGUUUUUUUA
Long non-coding RNA from Phyllopteryx taeniolatus (common seadragon), 1301 nucleotides. RefSeq lists it as uncharacterized. NCBI's taxonomy places the organism in Eukaryota, Metazoa, Chordata, Actinopteri, Syngnathiformes, Syngnathidae. The record is from RefSeq and is a predicted model, not a curated record. The transcript has 4 exons.